CCUUCCCUCCUUCCUUCCUUCUUUCCUUCCCUUCCUCCUUUCCUUUCCUUCCUUUCCUUGCUUUCUCUCUCUCUUUCUCUCUACCUCUCUGUCUCCUCUCUCUCUUUCUUCCUCCCUCCCUCCUGUCCUCCCUUUCUUUUUAGGCAAGUUGGAGUAUCUGUUACAAUCAAUUACACUUUAGAGAUGAAUGCUCUUACGAGUUACAGAUACCAGUUACGCUCCUUUGUAGUAUGUUUGGACACCACAUGUUGUCUUUGUUCACUUCUCAGGUUUCCACUGCUAUACAGUCUGUCAUCCUGGCAGCUGCAAACUCAUCGUCUUCUUUUCUCACCACUGAAGUACGGCACAAAUGUCACUAGGUGCUGUGUGAAAGAAACAUAUGGCAUCACCGUGGCUGAGGAGGGAUUCCUCAUGGAAGUACAAGUGCUGGAAGUAUUACGUCAUGUCUUGGCCAUACCAGAAGAAUUUGGUUUGGAGGCAACCUUGGAGAAGCACACAGACUGUUUGAUUUUAUCCGAAAGCUACUUUUCAAGAUAUGGAAGACUGAAGAAUUUUACAAGAGCAUGUUAACCUUUAACCUGUGUGUUUGCAAUAAGGAGAUCUUUACUGGAAUGAAAAGACAUUGUAUACUAGCACUAGAGCUAUAAAGGCAAGGAUUUGCUCUUUAUGCAUAUACCAAAGACACUGUGGCCUCCCACUCAGCAGCCCACAGGGGAAAAAUCCUAUUUUGCAGGAAAAAAAAGUUGUUCUUCUUGUUAGAUAUUUUCUUAGUAUAACUGUGUUGGGUAGGGCUUAGACCUUUGUACUCUCCCUGAACAAAUUCCUUGUAGUGAAAACCUAUAUGAAUACUGCGUUUUUACAUCUAAUGUCUGCAUCUGGAGGCCAUGUGCCAGUGUCAUAUCUUCUUGGGAUGUGCUUUCUCCUCGUUUCCUA
Molecule: long non-coding RNA, 933 nt
Filed under: Phasianus colchicus (ring-necked pheasant)
Lineage: Eukaryota; Metazoa; Chordata; Aves; Galliformes; Phasianidae
Description: lncRNA (ENSPCLG00000015225.1)
Source: RNAcentral